Molecule: long non-coding RNA, 356 nt
Organism: Bos indicus x Bos taurus (hybrid cattle)
Lineage: Eukaryota; Metazoa; Chordata; Mammalia; Artiodactyla; Bovidae
Source: Ensembl
GCCAUUGCUGCCCUUGGAGAGAAGCUGACCCCUAUAUAGUGGGCAGUGCAGCUGAGCCAGCUCUGCCAGGCCCAGUGACAGUGGCAUGCCCACACCAACCUGUCCACACCUCCUCCUCAGCCAGAAGCCACAGGACAUGGAGGAGUAUUGUGGAUUCCAGUGUGGGUCAUCAGAGAAUUCAUGCUUCCUGAAGUCCAGGGUUCAUCUACAGACCUCAGCGACGAACAGAAAGGUUGUGGGCAAGCUUAAUGGAACAGAAUGGGAACAGACUAUCUUACCACCUGGCCUCAGAAUUUCUCUUACCUUGGUGAGCCAGCCUGAAGUGAAAAGUUGAGCAGGAAAGUUUGGACCCAGGU